GCGUACAUCGAUUAUUAUAUGACACAGGGAUCGAUCGAGAGCUAGAUACUGUGAUCAAGUUUCAGAUUCAUGCAUGCAUAUGCUGUUCUAAUUGUUCAGGGCCUGAAGAAGGCAGGGUGAGGGCGGCCGGUGCCCUGGAAGGAGGUGUUCUUGAGGUGUUCAGGUGCGUUCUCGAAGGAGUGCCUCCUCGCCAGCGAGAGGAUCUUCUUGUCGGCGGCGACGAAGUAUGCCAUCCCGGCCGCCGUGCAGAUGAUCAGCGCCUGCCCCGUCGGGUUGAUGUUGGCCUUCGCCCAUGGCAGCAUCCUCACGCUCGCCAGCUGAAAUAAACCACACACAUAUGCAGAUAAUAAGUUAGUACAUGUACCUGAUGAGCUCUGCUGAUGAAUGAAGACUGAAGAAAUCACACAAAAGCUAGCAGCAAGAACUGAAGAAGACGCAUUUGUGUGUGUGUGUGAGAGAGAGAUAUAUAUAUAUAAAGAGAGUUUACUCACGGUGGGAACUGCAGAAGCGAUGGUCGCAACGGCAGCCGCCUUAACCCCUGCAAUGUUUGCCUCUGCAGAUUCACAAAGCACGCACGUAUAUAUGCAUCAGUCGAUAUAUAUUCAGUUAAUAAGUGCCAUGGAAUUCAAUUAACGCAAAGACGAAGAACAUUGUAGUUCAUGACUACUACACGUACCACGCGAGCAGCGCUUGGCGAGGGCGAGCCUCUGCUCCAGGUGUGCACGGGUCACCGUUGCCAUGUAAAUUAGUUUCAGUCACUUAGUUUUUGCUGAACUGCACUAGAGCAGUUUGAGAGAGCUAGGCAAGCCAAUCGACUAGCGAGAGAGAGAGAGAGAGAUCAGAGGAGUGUGUGAGAGAGUAGAUCGAGUGUAGCGGCAAGCAAGGGAGAUGGAUGGAUUGGAUUGGGGAGAGGCAUGGGGGCCUGCGAAUUUAUAGGCAGGCAAGCCAAGACCCAAGAGAUCGAUGUAGCGGAAUGAAGAAGGAAUCAGUGGACGAUGGAGGCAGAUAGCGGCGGGCGGGGGACGUGGUUUUGGGGCGAAACCAUGUGUGCGCGUGUGGCCGUUGCCGGCAACCGCCUCCGGCCUCGAUCUGCUUCACGAUGAUACCAUAUAUUCCGCCACGCACGUACACUACCUCGCCUCGCCUCGCUCGAUCUGUUCCUAUCCGUCCACGCGUCCAGCCAUGGUUUGCUGAUGCAACUACAGGUCGGUGCCUGGGGCUCUGCCAAAGCUGGAUUAGUUUUUUCUUUUUCUUUUUUGAAGCCCCCAAAGCUGGAUUACUUAAGAGUAUGGACCCUCUGAAUUGUAGGUUUGCAAAAAAAAAAAGAAGAUAAAUACGAGAAAAACAUGUUUCUGACAUGAAUACGAGCGUAAAAUAAUGAUUGCAAAACACAUGAAUGGCUGAUUGAUUAUACUGCAUGAAAAAAGCAGAAAUUAGAGAUAGGCUUUAAAGAAAAUUUUUCGAUAGGUUGGAGCUCUUACUAAGUUCAUUCCAAAAUCUACAUGCAAUGAGUCAUUAUAUAGAAAUUUCAUAGGAUUCGGAAACUUCAUCCCUUUGAAUCAAAUGAUCAUAGAAAAAAUUCCUAUAGGAUUUGAAUCCUAUACGAGCUCCUUCGACUUGUAGGAAAAUAAUUAAAUUUUGAAGGAUUUCAGUUCUAUGAGAAAAUAUUUUCUAAAGAUUUUUAAAAUAAAAUAUUGAAUAAUAUCCUAUCUUUUAAAAUUCCUAUGGAAUGAUAAAUCCAGUAGAGAUUUUGAAGAUAAUUUAGCAAGAGCUCUAACCGCCUCUUGGAAAAUUUUCCUUUGAGUUUAUCUUUCUUAUUUAAUUCCUACGUUUUUCCUACGAUCCAAUCAAACGAUCAUUCCUGUGUUUUUUUUACGUUUUAUAGUUCUCUGUUUUGCACUUAUAUUCUUAUCAAAAUUCUACAUGUUUUUUUUUUCAUUUUUCUCCGUUUUUCCAUUCAUGCUAUUCAAAGCGGUCCUAAAAUUCAUAAAUGAAUCAUUUGAUUCAAAGGGUUCUUAAGUUAAUAGUAUAGCCAAUUUAUAAAGCUAAUCUAACAUUAUAUUCAUAAAAUAGUUACAUGUAAAUAUAUAUAUAUAUAUAUAUAUAUAUAUAUAUAUAUAUAUAUAUAUAUAUAUAUAUAUAUAUAUAUAUAUAUAUAUGACACUCAUAUGGGGCACCAUGGUGCCCGGGCACCAUGGUAUCUAAUGCACAAAAUUACUCAAAUUUUUCAAAAUUUUCAAAUUGUGAGUAUAUACCUAGUUAUAAUAAUUUGAUUCAUACCUAUACUUAUCAACAAAACAACUCAAAUUUAACUUUAUUUCACAAUCCAUGAUUACAUACCUAACUAAUUAUAUGUAUGGAUGCUAUAUACCUAGAAUCAAAAUCUAACAAAAAUAAGUUCAAAUUCAGUUCAAACUUGCUUUAAACUAGUUAGUAAAGUUUGUGAUAUAUAUAUAUAUAUCACACCAUUAAUAUCUGGUCUCACCUCUCAUACAUAGCGUCUAAAAGUUCGUGCUAGAGCUACUUGAAAAAUCUGCACUUCACUUUUUUUACUUUAUAGUUGGUUUAUAGUCUAUUAUUGCAAUUGCUCUUGGGCCAUCCCCAACCCAGAAACUAUGCAGUAGUUUCCAUACUUACCAUGUCAUAUAGACAUCAUGUGUAAAAACCAUAUAUCCAAUAUGGUUGGUGUCUUUAAAUUAAAUUCUCAUGCAAUAAUCUCUUCUCUCUCUCCUUUUAUCUAUCUAUCCCAUUGUUUUUAUUCAUGGUACUUGUGUAGAUAUGGUUUCUUGCAUGAGAAAUAGCUUCUUCAUCUUUUUAUCCAUCUCCUCAUUAACUCUCUUGCCACAUCAUAUUUGCCACAUUAUAUUUUUGUUUAUGUGACAAUAUAUUUAAUGCUAUGUACACUAGAUACAUGGAGUGAUGGAGGGUUGGGGAUGGCCUUAUUUUAAUCCACUGCUACUAAUAUUCACUAUUGAUUCAUGGAAUCCAUAACAUCUCACUAGAUGUAGACAUGAACCAAGAUCGAUGUAAUUUUGAGCUCUCUUUGGGGACUAAUUAAUCCUAUAACUACUGCGUGCACAUAGAUUCCCGACUAAUGCAGUUAGUGGGGGCGUGUGGUGAGCAGUUAAUUAAUUAGGAGUGAGCAUUUUGUUAAUACUACCUCUCCUAUCUACGAACUGCCCUGUUUACUGGUUAGUCAAACUGGCUGAACCUAAUCAUGUGGGCGGUCAGGUUCAACGUUCCUGUGGUAGAUGCUGCUACCAAAUGGCCACAGAGACGCAUGUCAACAAGUCAAGCCUCACUCUGUUGCCGCUUCUUCCAGAAUGCAUGUGCAACGGACACACAAGUCAUCUUCUUCAACUCUUAAACACUUGCAAAUGACAUAUAGUAAGUACUGUAAAUACUAGUGCUGUUAAUGACUAGCAUCAAUUAAUAAUUUAGCAGUUAACCCAUGUGGAGAUCGAGGGCAAUUAGCAACUAGCCUUUUUUUUUUACUUUUUUCCUCUGAUGAAACUGAAAUGCACCGUGAUCUGUGAUGAUCGAUCCAUGGUUGGUGGCCGGCCAUGGCGAAUCUGCCGUCAGUUUUGGGCAUUUUUUGUGGGGCGGCGGAAAACUGUGUGGCGCUCCCAGUUUUCGGCUGGUUUUUAGCCUCGCCGACGUCACUCAUGCUCAUGCCUGUCUUGCACUCUCACUCUGUGGGCUACCACCCGGCCUUGUCUGCUCACUAGCAAUGCAUUGCUGCCCCACUCAAAGUACGGAUCGCUUAUCCAUUUCUGAUGCGAUCUGCUCCAUUUCAGUCUCUCCCAUCUCACCUUAUCAUCUCCUGCUAGAUCCAACCAACUUUGCUUUACUGCUAUUCUACUGAAAAAUACUCCAUCCGCUCUAUUUAUAAGUGCAAUUGUUAUAACGCAGUUGUGGUUGUUUGUGUCUAAUGUUUUACCGUUUAUCUUAUUUUUAAAAAAUAUAAAAAAUAAUCGCAUAAAGUACUAUUUAUUUUUUAUGUAAUAACAAUAAAAAUACUAAUCAUAAAACAUUUAAAUAAGAUGGACAAUCAAAUUUUGAGCACAGAAACCUACAACUUUAAUUAAAUGUUUAGAAUCGUUAUAUUAGAAUGUGUCAUUUAAUUUAAUUUGGUUUUUUUUAACGGAAAGUGAGUAGUAUGAAGGGUUCGGUACUGUGCGUUAGUUGUCCAUCCAGUUGGGUUUGUGGUGAUCAUCAGCAGGCAACUGGUUGAUUAGAUCAAUCAAUCACUGCCCACGGUAUAGAUCAGAUCACCAUCCUCCUCCAUGUUUUUCACUGUAUCCGUGGCCGCUGCCGUUAAACUUUUUCGAACGGUCGCUGCCGUUAAACUUGAACAGUUGAUAUGCAUUUACUCUCUCCUCUCUCUCUCUCUCUCUGCAUAUAUUUAUAGACGGCAAAAUGAAAGGGGACUAAGGCCGUCUUUAGUUCUUCCAAAAAAAUUUUAUGUAUACAGACGCAUAUUUAAAAUAUUAAACAUAGAUUAAUAACAAAACAAAUUACAGAUUCCGCCUGUAAAUCGUAAGACGAAUUUAUUAAGUCUAAUUAAUCCAUCAUUAGCAAAUGUUUACUGUAGCUCCACAUUAUCAUAUCAAGGCGUAAUUAGGCUCAAGAGAUCCGUCUCGCAAUUUACAUGCAAACUGUGUAAUUGAUUUUUUUCGUCCACAUUUAAUGCUCCAUGCAUAUGUGUCAGGGUUAUAGAUACCACAUAUUUAAUAGUAGUUGACUAAAUCUCGGCAGGACCCACCACAUACUAUGUCUUAUAUGGAAAUAUCCUUCAGAUAUAAGAGGAGUUCCGCGUAAGGAAGGAAGAAUAGAGUUUUAUAUGGAAACGACAAAAACUACUCGAAUUGUAUCCAUAUUGGUUUCCCUAGUUCUACAUGAAAAAUGGAACACCUAUGGAUAUAAAUACAAGACACCUUAGGAGGAGAGGGGAGAGGGAACAACAGAUCAAGAUACAUAUCAACAUACAAGCCAAUAUACGCCAAGACGUGCCGCCGGAUAUCGACAUCAGAGAUAUGCCUGGACUGACCCUAUCCGGUACCUACAGAGGCCGGUUGUAGAGAUCUAGCGAUGCCUCUGAUCUCGCCGAGCACGGAUUCGAGGAGAAAAACUACCCUGUUGUCGAUACUUCAAUCCACUAUGUCGACAACAGUUAGAUAAGUUACCCCAAAUAUUGUACUGGUGUGAUCAUAGUGAAUAAGAGCAACGACCGGCUUCAGCCAACAGGAGUAGGGUUAUUAUCUGAUAAUUCAGGGGCCCGAAACUGUAUAAAAAUCCUCCUCUCCGUCUCUUUUACCUAAGUCUCGCAUAUAUCCUAGUACCAACGAUCCCCAUACUAUGCAAAUACCGGAAUCGCGACAUCAAACGUUGACAAUAUGUCCAAAUAUUUUAUGUGACGAAAUUUUUAAAAGUUUGAAUGGAACUAAACACAAACACAGCCUAACUUUUAGGAAAUGCACUUGGUAGCGUUAAUUGUAAGGGAUAUGCCAAUUUAAUUUCAACUCUAAGAUACUAUUUUCAAUUCCUAAACAAUUUUUUUAAGAAAAGCAUCUGGAGAAACAUUUCUUUCUACAAAUCUCUUUUUUUUCGAAGUUAAGCUAUAAAAGAAUUCAUUCUCUAUAAAACCAGCAGCAGUUUAGCUGGUUGAUUUGGGAAAACAGAACUUCGUUCGUACAUCAAUCUUGGUUACUUUGGCCAUAUAUUGAGCUGGCGAUAUGCUAUACCGGCGAGGUGACGUGGCGUCGUCAUGUAUCCGUACCAGUCUACCAGAUCACUGUACCGUUGCUCUGUUACUGUAUAUACUAGCAGUACUACAUUUUCUGAAGGUUCACAUCACCUUUGCUUUGCAUUAGUGCACUCUGAAAAACUUGACACUGCUUAUCCAAUAUCCACUACAUUAUUCAAUACUAGUAUAAAAGUACUCCCUUGUGAAAAAGAAAAGAUUCAUGUAUGAAAGUUGUCUCUUUUUUUUUUGACUAUCGGAGAGUAUGUGCUAUCUGAAAAUCUUUUUAAUUAUAGCUUUUGGCUUCAAAUUUCACACCAACUAACUAGCUAGGGGAUAAGUGUUCAUCAACUGUUUUGAAGAAGGUGAAGACAUCAACGAGUUUUCAGAUGAAGUUCAGAACAGGGUAAAAAAACAAAGUACUAGUUCUCAUUGAUUUCAUUUUCAUCAUCAACAACAACAAAACUAAUUACAUCACAACUUAUAGAACCAUUACGCAUGAACUCAGCAGCAGUAGCAGUUUAUCCAGGCUUCCAUCAGUCACUGUGAAAGUUCAGUGUUCCUCAUGGCCUGAAGAAGGCUGGGUGAGGGCGGCCGGUGCCCUGGAAGGAGGUGUUCUUGAGGUGCUCCGGUGCGCCCUCGAACGAGUGCUUCCUCGCCAGCGAGAGGAUCUUCUUGUCGGCGGCGACGAAGUAUGCCAUCCCAGCCGCCGUGCAGAUGAUCAGCGCCUGACCCGUCGGGUUGAUGUUGGCCUUCGCCCAUGGCAGCAUCC
This 6515-nucleotide long non-coding RNA is filed under the name Oryza sativa (Asian cultivated rice). RNAcentral describes it as "long non-coding RNA (OSAT_LNC001080)". The record is from RNAcentral. Lineage: Eukaryota; Viridiplantae; Streptophyta; Magnoliopsida; Poales; Poaceae.